GUAGGGUGGGCAAGCGUUGUCCGGAAUUAUUGGGCGUAAAGCGCGCGCAGGCGGUCCUUUAAGUCUGAUGUGAAAGCCCACGGCUCAACCGUGGAGGGUCAUUGGAAACUGGGGGACUUGAGUACAGAAGAGGAAAGCGGAAUUCCAAGUGUAGCGGUGAAAUGCGUAGAGAUUUGGAGGAACACCAGCGGCGAAGGCGGCUUUCUGGUCUGUAACUGGCGCUGAGGCGCGAAAGCGUGGGGAGCAAACAGGAUUAGAUACCCUGGUAGUCCACGCCGUAAACGAUGAGUGCUAAGUGUUAGGGGGUUUCCGCCCCUUAGUGCUGCAGCUAACGCAUUAAGCACUCCGCCUGGGGAGUACGGCCGCAAGGCUG
RNAcentral lists this ribosomal RNA (373 nucleotides) under uncultured organism. RNAcentral describes it as "partial 16S ribosomal RNA". It matches the Rfam family "Bacterial small subunit ribosomal RNA", at positions 525 to 896 of the family's 1533-position model. The record is from RNAcentral.